Molecule: ribosomal RNA, 381 nt
Filed under: uncultured microorganism
Description: bacterial SSU rRNA
Rfam family: Archaeal small subunit ribosomal RNA
Source: RNAcentral
GCGCAGCAGUCGCGAAACCUCCGCAAUGCGGGAAACCGUGACGGGGUCACCCCGAGUGCCACCCGCUGAGGGUGGCUUUUCCCCGGUCUAAAGAGCCGGGGGAAUAAGCGGGGGCGAAGACUGGUGUCAGCCGCCGCGGUAAUACCAGCCCGCGAGUGGUCGGGACGUUUAUUGGGCCUAAAGCGUCCGUAGCCGGCCCGGUAAUUCCCUCCUUAAAGCCCACGGCUCAACCGUGGGAACGGAGGGGAUAAUGCCGGGGCUAGGGGGCGGGAGAGGCCGGGGGUACUCCCGGGGUAGGGGCGGAAAUCCUGUAAUCCCGGGAGGACCGCCAGUGGCGAAGGCGCCCGGCUGGAACGCGCCCGACGGUGAGGGACGAAAGCU